UACAGAGGGUGCGAACGUUGCUCGGAAUUACUGGGCGUAAAGCGCGUGUAGGCGGGUCGGCAAGUCAGGCGUGAAAUCCCGAGGCUCAACCUCGGAACUGCACUCGAAACUGCCUGGCUUGAGUCCCGGAGAGGGUGGCGGAAUUCCCGGUGUAGGGGUGAAAUCCGUAGAUAUCGGGAGGAACACCAGUGGCGAAGGCGGCCACCUGGACGGUGACUGACGCUGAGACGCGAAAGCGUGGGGAGCAAACAGG
RNAcentral lists this ribosomal RNA (253 nucleotides) under uncultured bacterium. Its description in RNAcentral is "partial 16S ribosomal RNA". It matches the Rfam family "Bacterial small subunit ribosomal RNA", at positions 524 to 776 of the family's 1533-position model. The record is from RNAcentral.